RNAcentral lists this ribosomal RNA (468 nucleotides) under Centipeda noxia. Its description in RNAcentral is "bacterial SSU rRNA". It matches the Rfam family "Bacterial small subunit ribosomal RNA", at positions 28 to 467 of the family's 1533-position model. Lineage: Bacteria; Bacillati; Bacillota; Negativicutes; Selenomonadales; Selenomonadaceae. The record is from RNAcentral.
GACGAACGCUGGCGGCGUGCUUAACACAUGCAAGUCGAACGGAGCGAAUGAAAGCUUGCUUUUAUAAGCUUAGUGGCAAACGGGUGAGUAACACGUAGACAACCUGCCGACAGGAUGGGGACAACAUUCCGAAAGGAAUGCUAAUACCGAAUGAAGUGCAGGGGAGGCAUCUCCCCUGCAUGAAAGAUGGCCUCUAUAUAUAUGCUAUCACCUGUUGAUGGGUCUGCGUCUGAUUAGCUGGUAGGUGAGGUAACGGCUCACCUAGGCGACGAUCAGUAGCCGGUCUGAGAGGAUGAACGGCCACAUUGGGUCUGAGACACGGCCCAGACUCCUACGGGAGGCAGCAGUGGGGAAUCUUCCGCAAUGGGCGCAAGCCUGACGGAGCAACGCCGCGUGAGUGAAGAAGGUCUUCGGAUCGUAAAGCUCUGUUGAUGGGGACGAACGUGCCUAAUGCGAAUAGUUUUAGGC